AACGCAUAUUGCGCCCUUUGGUAUUCCGGAGGGCAUGCCUGUCCGAGCGUCAUUACUAUCUUCAAGCACGGCUUGUGUGUUGAGCAUUUGUUCUUUAAUGGACAAGCUUGAAAUGCAGUGGCAAUGCUGCGUCUGGUGCCCGAGCGUUAUAGGGCUUUGUCACCCGCUCCGUUGGCUCCAGCCAGCAUUUUUUGGCCAUUAAAACUUUUUUUUUAAAAAAAAUAUCAAAAACUGACCUCGGAUCAGGCAAGAAUACCCGCUGAACUUAA
Molecule: unclassified non-coding RNA, 269 nt
Filed under: uncultured Eurotiomycetes
Lineage: Eukaryota; Fungi; Ascomycota; Eurotiomycetes
Description: sequence contains ITS2
Source: RNAcentral